RNAcentral lists this ribosomal RNA (301 nucleotides) under uncultured bacterium. Its description in RNAcentral is "partial 16S ribosomal RNA". It matches the Rfam family "Bacterial small subunit ribosomal RNA", at positions 509 to 807 of the family's 1533-position model. The record is from RNAcentral.
CAGCCGCCGCGGUAAUACGUAGGUGGCAAGCGUUGUCCGGAAUUAUUGGGCGUAAAGGGCUCGCAGGCGGUUUCUUAAGUCUGAUGCGAAAGCCCCCGGCUCAACCGGGGAGGGUCAUUGGAAACUGGGAAACUUGAGUGCAGAAGAGGAGAGUGGAAUUCCACGUGUAGCGGUGAAAUGCGUAGAGAUGUGGAGGAACACCAGUGGCGAAGGCGACUCUCUGGUCUGUAACUGACGCUGAGGAGCGAAAGCGUGGGGAGCGAACAGGAUUAGAUACCCGAGUAGUCCCUGUCUCUUAUAC